Molecule: ribosomal RNA, 26 nt
Filed under: Colletotrichum gloeosporioides
Lineage: Eukaryota; Fungi; Ascomycota; Sordariomycetes; Glomerellales; Glomerellaceae
Description: partial 28S ribosomal RNA
Source: RNAcentral
GUUGACCUCGGAUCAGGUAGAAUCAG